RNAcentral lists this ribosomal RNA (255 nucleotides) under uncultured bacterium. RNAcentral describes it as "partial 16S ribosomal RNA". It matches the Rfam family "Bacterial small subunit ribosomal RNA", at positions 524 to 776 of the family's 1533-position model. The record is from RNAcentral.
UACGUAGGGCGCGAGCGUUUGUCCGGAAUCAUUGGGCGUAAAGAGCUCGUAGGCGGCCUGUCGCGUCUGCUGUGAAAUCCCGGGGCUUAACCCCGGGCGUGCAGUGGAUACGGGCAGGCUAGAGUUCGGUAGGGGAGACUGGAAUUCCUGGUGUAGCGGUGAAAUGCGCAGAUAUCAGGAGGAACACCGGUGGCGAAGGCGGGGUCUCUGGGCCGAUACUGACGCUGAGGAGCGAAAGCGUGGGGAGCGAACAGG